Molecule: ribosomal RNA, 458 nt
Filed under: uncultured bacterium
Lineage: Bacteria
Description: partial 16S ribosomal RNA
Rfam family: Bacterial small subunit ribosomal RNA
Source: RNAcentral
CCUACGGGUGGCUGCAGUAGGGAAUAUUGCUCAAUGGGGGAAACCCUGAAGCAGCAACGCCGCGUGGAGGAUGAAGGUUUUCGGAUUGUAAACUUCUUUUGUCAAGGGACAAAAUCAGGCUCGAGAGCCUGACCGAGGGUACUUGAAGAAAAAGCAUCGGCUAACUCCGUGCCAGCAGCCGCGGUAAUACGGAGGAUGCGAGCGUUAUCCGGAUUUAUUGGGUUUAAAGGGUGCGUAGGCGGACUGUUAAGUCAGCGGUAAAAGCCCGGGGCUCAACCCCGGCGAGCCGUUGAAACUGGCUGUCUUGAGAUGUCGAGAGGUAUGCGGAAUGCGCAGUGUAGCGGUGAAAUGCUUAGAUAUUGCGCAGAACUCCGAUUGCGAAGGCAGCAUACCGGCGGCGAUCUGACGCUGAGGCACGAAAGCGUGGGUAUCGAACAGGAUUAGAUACCCUGGUAGUC